CAGUCGACGAUGAAGCUGGAGCUUGCUCUGGUGGAUUAGUGGCGAACGGGUGAGUAACACGUGAGCAACCUGCCCCUGACUCUGGGAUAACAGCCGGAAACGGCUGCUAAUACCGGAUAUGCACCAUGAACGCAUGUUCUGUGGUGGGAAAGAUUUUUCGGUUGGGGAUGGGCUCGCGGCCUAUCAGCUUGUUGGUGAGGUAAUGGCUCACCAAGGCGUCGACGGGUAGCCGGCCUGAGAGGGUGACCGGCCACACUGGGACUGAGACACGGCCCAGACUCCUACGGGAGGCAGCAGUGGGGAAUAUUGCACAAUGGGCGAAAGCCUGAUGCAGCAACGCCGCGUGAGGGAUGACGGCCUUCGGGUUGUAAACCUCUUUUAGCAGGGAAGAAGCGAGAGUGACGGUACCUGCAGAAAAAGCGCCGGCUAACUACGUGCCAGCAGCCGCGGUAAUACGUAGGGCGCAAGCGUUAUCCGGAAUUAUUGGGCGUAAAGAGCUCGUAGGCGGUUUGUCGCGUCUGCUGUGAAAACUGGAGGCUCAACCUCCAGCCUGCAGUGGGUACGGGCAGACUAGAGUGCGGUAGGGGAGAUUGGAAUUCCUGGUGUAGCGGUGGAAUGCGCAGAUAUCAGGAGGAACACCGAUGGCGAAGGCAGAUCUCUGGGCCGUAACUGACGCUGAGGAGCGA
RNAcentral lists this ribosomal RNA (686 nucleotides) under Microbacterium petrolearium. RNAcentral describes it as "bacterial SSU rRNA". It matches the Rfam family "Bacterial small subunit ribosomal RNA", at positions 59 to 756 of the family's 1533-position model. Lineage: Bacteria; Bacillati; Actinomycetota; Actinomycetes; Micrococcales; Microbacteriaceae. The record is from RNAcentral.